UGUGAAUAACAGUGUAUUAGAGUCCCAAAUCAGUGCGACAUGAUUGAUAUUUGUCUCUAUCUAUGAUGGAGUACUCUACCCUAGAUCCAUAAGGGCUCUUCUGGAGAGAAAAUCAGGACUAUAUAUGGAGUAUAUAUAGCUCUUUUGGAGGGUAUAUGAUUUUGUGAUGCUCUGAAGACCUAGGAAUUCACAAAGAACCAUUCUGAUAGAUCCAAAUACAAUGUCAGAAUUUAUCAAGAACUUAAUCAAAAAAAUCCGAGCAACAGAUGUGGAUUUCAUGCAAAUUGUACUUAACAACAAUUGUAACACAUGCGAAGACUUUGUGAAGCUAUUGGGUAGAGAAGGAAACAUCACAGGGUUUUGAGUGGGAAUUGAAUAAGUCAAAUUACAACUUCUGUAGAAAGUUUUGAUGAAAUUGGUGGGAACUUUGAUAUGAAUUUUUAAAUGGUCAUGUUAAUAAUAUGUGAAGGAACAGUUUUUGCAUAAUUUAAAGAGUAAAUAGC
Lactuca sativa (garden lettuce) is the source of this 503-nucleotide non-coding RNA. The record is from RefSeq and is a predicted model, not a curated record. Lineage: Eukaryota; Viridiplantae; Streptophyta; Magnoliopsida; Asterales; Asteraceae.